AUACGGAGGACGCGAGCGUUAUCCGGAUUCAUUGGGUUUAAAGGGUGCGCAGGCGGCCGUGCAAGUCAGCGGUGAAAGCCCGGGGCUCAACCCCGGAAGUGCCGUUGAUACUGCAUGGCUGGAAUGCGGUCGAGGCGGGCGGAACGUGGCGUGUAGCGGUGAAAUGCGUAGAUAUGCCACAGAACGCCGAUAGCGGAGGCAGCUCGCCAGGCCUGCAUUGACGCUCGGGCACGAAAGCGUGGGGAUCGAACAGGAUUAGAUACCCUGGUAGUCCACGCAGUAAACGAUGAUGGCUAACCGCUGGUUUAUUCGGAUCAGUGGCCAAGCGAAAGCGAUAAGCCAUCCACCUGGGGAGUACGACCGCAAGGUUGAAACUCAAAUGAAUUGACGGGG
RNAcentral lists this ribosomal RNA (393 nucleotides) under uncultured bacterium. Its description in RNAcentral is "partial 16S ribosomal RNA". It matches the Rfam family "Bacterial small subunit ribosomal RNA", at positions 523 to 918 of the family's 1533-position model. The record is from RNAcentral.